Molecule: ribosomal RNA, 506 nt
Filed under: uncultured bacterium
Lineage: Bacteria
Description: partial 16S ribosomal RNA
Rfam family: Bacterial small subunit ribosomal RNA
Source: RNAcentral
GAUGAACGCUAGCUACAGGCUUAACACAUGCAAGUCGAGGGGUAACGAGAGGAAAGCUUGCUUUCCUUGUCGACGACCGGCGCACGGGUGAGUAACGCGUAUCCAACCUGCCCCCAACUAAGGAAUAACCCUGCGAAAGUAAGACUAAUACCUUAUAAUUUCCUCAGAUGCCAUCUGACGAGGAAUAAAGAUUUAUCGGUUGUGGAUGGGGAUGCGUCUGAUUAGCUUGUUGGCGGGGUAACGGCCCACCAAGGCAACGAUCAGUAGGGGUUCUGAGAGGAAGGUCCCCCACAUUGGAACUGAGACACGGUCCAAACUCCUACGGGAGGCAGCAGUGAGGAAUAUUGGUCAAUGGGCGGAAGCCUGAACCAGCCAAGUAGCGUGCAGGAUGACGGCCCUAUGGGUUGUAAACUGCUUUUAUACAGGAAUAAAGUUAGCCACGUGUGGUUAUUUGUAGGUACUGUAUGAAUAAGGACCGGCUAAUUCCGUGCCAGCCGCCGCCGUAA